This 497-nucleotide ribosomal RNA is filed under the name uncultured bacterium. Its description in RNAcentral is "partial 16S ribosomal RNA". It matches the Rfam family "Bacterial small subunit ribosomal RNA", at positions 28 to 507 of the family's 1533-position model. The record is from RNAcentral.
GAUGAACGCUGGCGGCGUGCCUAAUACAUGCAAGUCGAGCGAACGGACGAGAAGCUUGCUUCUCUGAUGUUAGCGGCGGACGGGUGAGUAACACGUGGAUAACCUACCUAUAAGACUGGGAUAACUUCGGGAAACCGGAGCUAAUACCGGAUAAUAUUUUGAACCGCAUGGUUCAAAAGUGAAGGACGGUCUUGCUGUCACUUAUAGAUGGAUCCGCGCUGCAUUAGCUAGUUGGUAAGGUAACGGCUUACCAAGGCAACGAUGCAUAGCCGACCUGAGAGGGUGAUCGGCCACACUGGAACUGAGACACGGUCCAGACUCCUACGGGAGGCAGCAGUAGGGAAUCUUCCGCAGUGGGCGAAAGCCUGACGGAGCAACGCCGCGUGAGUGAUGAAGGUCUUCGGAUCGUAAAACUCUGUUAUUAGGGAAGAACAUAUGUGUAAGUAACUGUGUACAUCUUGACGGUACCUAAUCAGAAAGCCACGGCUAACUACGUG